UACGUAGGCAGCAAGCGCUGUUCGGAGUUACUGGGCGUAAAGAGUGCGUAGGCGGUGCUCUAAGUUUGGUGUGAAAUCUCCCGGCUUAACUGGGAGGGUGCGCCGAAAACUGGAGUGCUUGAGUAUGGGAGAGGCAAGCGGAAUUCCUGGUGUAGCGGUGAAAUGCGCAGAUAUCAGGAGGAACACCGGUGGCGAAGGCGGGUCUCUGGGCCAAUACUGACGCUGAGGGACGAAAGCUAGGGGAGCGAAUGGG
Molecule: ribosomal RNA, 253 nt
Filed under: uncultured bacterium
Lineage: Bacteria
Description: partial 16S ribosomal RNA
Rfam family: Bacterial small subunit ribosomal RNA
Source: RNAcentral